AGUGAACGCUGGCGGUAGGCCUAACACAUGCAAGUCGAACGGCAGCACAGUAAGAGCUUGCUCUUACGGGUGGCGAGUGGCGGACGGGUGAGGAAUACAUCGGAAUCUACUUUUUCGUGGGGGAUAACGUAGGGAAACUUACGCUAAUACCGCAUCCGACCUACGGGUGAAAGCAGGGGAUCUUCGGACCUUGCGCGAUUGAAUGAGCCGAUGUCGGAUUAGCUAGUUGGCGGGGUAAAGGCCCACCAAGGCGACGAUCCGUAGCUGGUCUGAGAGGAUGAUCAGCCACACUGGAACUGAGACACGGCACAGACGCCUACGGGAGGCAGCAGUGGGGAAUAUUGGACAAUGGGCGCAAGCCUGAUCCAGCCAUACCGCGUGGGUGAAGAAGGCCUUCGGGUUGUAAAGCCCUUUUGUUGGGAAAGAAAAGCAGCAGGUUAAUACCCCGCUGUUCGGACGGUACCCAAAGAAUAAGCACCGGCUAACUUCGU
RNAcentral lists this ribosomal RNA (491 nucleotides) under uncultured bacterium. RNAcentral's name for it is "partial 16S ribosomal RNA". It matches the Rfam family "Bacterial small subunit ribosomal RNA", at positions 29 to 506 of the family's 1533-position model. The record is from RNAcentral.